GUGGGUGUAGCUCAGUGGUAGAGCGCAUGCUUAGCAUGUGUGAGGUCCUGGGUUCAAUCCCCAGUCCCUCCA
RNAcentral lists this transfer RNA (72 nucleotides) under Camelus bactrianus (Bactrian camel). It matches the Rfam family "tRNA". Rfam says of the family: Transfer RNA (tRNA) molecules are approximately 80 nucleotides in length. Their secondary structure includes four short double-helical elements and three loops (D, anti-codon, and T loops). Further hydrogen bonds mediate the characteristic L-shaped molecular structure. tRNAs have two regions of fundamental functional importance: the anti-codon, which is responsible for specific mRNA codon recognition, and the 3' end, to which the tRNAs corresponding amino acid is attached (by aminoacyl-tRNA synthetases). tRNAs cope with the degeneracy of the genetic code in two manners: having more than one tRNA (with a specific anti-codon) for a particular amino acid; and 'wobble' base-pairing, i.e. permitting non-standard base-pairing at the 3rd anti-codon position. RNAcentral also lists the same sequence under 1 other name. The record is from Rfam by way of RNAcentral. Lineage: Eukaryota; Metazoa; Chordata; Mammalia; Artiodactyla; Camelidae.